This 689-nucleotide ribosomal RNA is filed under the name uncultured Microbacteriaceae bacterium. RNAcentral's name for it is "bacterial SSU rRNA". It matches the Rfam family "Bacterial small subunit ribosomal RNA", at positions 95 to 798 of the family's 1533-position model. Lineage: Bacteria; Bacillati; Actinomycetota; Actinomycetes; Micrococcales; Microbacteriaceae. The record is from RNAcentral.
GUGGCGAACGGGUGAGUAACACGUGAGCAAUCUGCCCUUGACUCUGGGAUAACUGCGGGAAACUGUAGCUAAUACCGGAUACUUUCCUCGCUGGGCAUCCAGCGGGGAAGAAAGAAUUUCGGUCAAGGAUGAGCUCGCGGCCUAUCAGCUAGUUGGUGAGGUAAAGGCUCACCAAGGCGACGACGGGUAGCCGGCCUGAGAGGGUGACUGGCCACACUGGAACUGAGACACGGUCCAGACUCCUACGGGAGGCAGCAGUGGGGAAUAUUGCACAAUGGGCGAAAGCCUGAUGCAGCAACGCCGCGUGAGGGAUGAAGGCCUUCGGGUUGUAAACCUCUUUUAGCAGGGAAGAAGCGAAAGUGACGGUACCUGCAGAAAAAGCACCGGCUAACUACGUGCCAGCAGCCGCGGUAAUACGUAGGGUGCAAGCGUUGUCCGGAAUUAUUGGGCGUAAAGAGCUCGUAGGCGGUUUGUCACGUCUGCUGUGAAAAUCCGAGGCUCAACCUCGGACUUGCAGUGGGUACGGGCAGGCUAGAGUGCGGUAGGGGAGAAUGGAAUUCCUGGUGUAGCGGUGGAAUGCGCAGAUAUCAGGAGGAACACCAAUGGCGAAGGCACUUCUCUGGGCCGUAACUGACGCUGAGGAGCGAAAGCGUGGGGAGCGAACAGGAUUAGAUACCCUGGUAGUCCAC